CUUAAGCUGACGUUUAUAAUAAUAAUUGAUUCUAUUGCAAUGUAUAAAAGCUUAUAGAAUUUUAUAUUGCUUAACGGUUACGACGUUUCGCUUAUGAACCAAUUUUAGUGAUGUUUUUUUAUUUGGAGCAACAUGAUAGAUGUAAAAAAUCGAACUAAUAUUUAAAUAAAAAGAAAUGAACAAAAAUUUCUUCUGUUGGCACAUUUCUACUAUUAUUACAAACAAAAUAGUCAUAUUUUUAAACACUGUUAAUUAAUUGUUAUUAAAAAGAUAAAUUACAUGAAUCUAACGAAUUUUGCAUUUUAUUUAAAAAAAAAUGUUAAUAAAAUCAA
Vanessa tameamea is the source of this 332-nucleotide long non-coding RNA. RefSeq lists it as uncharacterized. The record is from RefSeq and is a predicted model, not a curated record. The transcript has 2 exons. NCBI's taxonomy places the organism in Eukaryota, Metazoa, Arthropoda, Insecta, Lepidoptera, Nymphalidae.